This is a long non-coding RNA of Octodon degus (degu), 208 nucleotides long. RefSeq lists it as uncharacterized. The record is from RefSeq and is a predicted model, not a curated record. The transcript has 3 exons. Lineage: Eukaryota; Metazoa; Chordata; Mammalia; Rodentia; Octodontidae.
GAGAAGCUUGGAUGGGAGUAGAUGAUGAAGAGAAAAAAAAGUCUCCCUCAGAAGGCACUGAUGAGAAGGCUAAUGGAACGCAUCCAAAGACCAUCAGCCGCAUCGGGAGCACCACUAACCCGUUUUUGGACAUUCCUCACGACCCAAAUGCUGCUGUGUACAAAAGCGGAUUCUUGGCUCGGAAAAUCCAUGCAGAUAUGGACGGAAA